CAUUACAGAGCUUCUAAGCUUAAGGGGGUAAAACCUCUGAGCGAGAACUCCACCCUUUGUUUACAUACCUUUGUUGCUUUAGCAGGCCCGCUCUCGAGCCGCCGGCAAUAGCUGGUCCGCGCCUGCUAGAGGACCUAAAACUCAUGUUAAUAAUAUUGUCUGAGUACUAUAAUAAUAGUUAAAACUUUCAACAACGGAUCUCUUGGUUCUGGCAUCGAUGAAGAACGCAGCGAAAUGCGAUAAGUAAUGUGAAUUGCAGAAUUCAGUGAAUCAUCGAAUCUUUGAACGCACAUUGCGCCCUCUGGUAUUCCGGGGGGCAUGCCUGUUCGAGCGUCAUUACAACCCUCAAGCUCUGCUUGGUAUUAGGCUUCACCUGCUACAGGCGAGCCUUAAAAUCAGUGGCGGUGCCUUCUGGCUUCAAGCGUAGUAAUACUUCUCGUUUGGGAGCUCCAGUUGUGUACCUGCUAUAAAAACCCCAAUUUUUAAAGGUUGACCUCGGAUCAGGUAGGGAUACCCGCUGAACUUAAGCAUAUCAAUAAGCGGAGGAAAAGAAACCAACAGGGAUUGCCUCAGUAACGGCGAGUGAAGCGGCAACAGCUCAAAUUUGAAAUCUGGCUCUUUGAGUCCGAAUUGUAAUUUGUAGAGGAUGUUUCGAGCGUGGUCCGGUCUAAGUUCCUUGGAACAGGACGUCAUAGAGGGUGAGAAUCCCGUAUGUGACCGGGUGCCUAUGUUCAUGUGAA
This 740-nucleotide ribosomal RNA is filed under the name fungal sp. RNAcentral describes it as "eukaryotic LSU rRNA". The stretch from base 491 to 740 matches the Rfam family "Eukaryotic large subunit ribosomal RNA", at positions 1 to 250 of the family's 3401-position model. Lineage: Eukaryota; Fungi. The record is from RNAcentral.